UCCCCUAGUAACUGCGAGUGAAGCGGGAAAAGCUCAAAUUUGAAAUCUGGCAGUUUUUGACUGUCCGAGUUGUAAUCUAGAGAAGUGUUACCUGUGCUGGACCGUGUACAAGUCUCCUGGAAUGGAGCAUCAUAGAGGGUGAGAAUCCCGUCUUUGACAUGGACUACCUGUACAUUAUGGUGCGCUCUCAAAGAGUCGAGUUGUUUGGGAAUGCAGCUCAAAAUGGGUGGUAAAUGCCAUCUAAAGCUAAAUAUUGGCGAGAGACCGAUAGCGAACAAGUACCGUGAGGGAAAGAUGAAAAGAACUUUGGAAAGAGAGUUAAACAGUACGUGAAAUUGCUGAAAGGGAAACGCUUGAAGUCAGUCGCGUUGUCUGGAAAUCAGCCUUGCUUUUGCUUGGUGUACUUUCUGGUUGACGGGUCAGCAUCAAUUUUGACCACUGGAUAAAGUCUCUGGGAAUGUGGCAUCCUUGGAUGUGUUAUAGCCCUAGGUCGCAUACAGUGGUUGGGAUUGAGGAACUCAGCACGCCGCAAGGCCGGGUUUCGACCACGUUCGUGCUUAGGAUGCUGGCAUAAUGGCUUUAAUCGACCCGUCUUGAAACACGGACCAAGGAGUCUAACAUGCCUGCGAGUGUUUGGGUGGAAAACCCAUGCGCGUAAUGAAAGUGAAAGUUGAGAUCCCUUCAGGGAGCAUUGACGCCCGGACCAGACCUUCUGUGACGGAUCCGCGGUAGAGCAUGUAUGUUGGGACCCGAAAGAUGGUGAACUAUGCCUGAAUAGGGUGAAGCCAGAGGA
This 793-nucleotide ribosomal RNA is filed under the name Inocybe sp. Its description in RNAcentral is "partial large subunit ribosomal RNA". It matches the Rfam family "Eukaryotic large subunit ribosomal RNA", at positions 76 to 859 of the family's 3401-position model. The record is from RNAcentral. Lineage: Eukaryota; Fungi; Basidiomycota; Agaricomycetes; Agaricales; Inocybaceae.